RNAcentral lists this long non-coding RNA (252 nucleotides) under Elaeis guineensis (African oil palm). RNAcentral's name for it is "long non-coding RNA (EGUI_LNC032068)". The record is from RNAcentral. Lineage: Eukaryota; Viridiplantae; Streptophyta; Magnoliopsida; Arecales; Arecaceae.
ACUGAUAGUAUAAAAAUUGAUUUCUGUAUCAAUCAGAGUAACCAUCUAGCAAUGGUACCCGACGUCCAGAUAGGCCGAAUGUAAGCAAAGCAACACUCAAGAACCUAUUUGGAUAUAGUUAUCAUAUAAUUCAUCACUUUGACCCUUGAUGCUAGGAUAACUUAGAGUUUAAACUAUCAACUCUUAAUAGUAUAUCUAUUAUGUAUCUCAAUGUAAUAAAUCCUGUGACUCCUCGUAAGGUUUGCCCUAGCC